GCCGGGGGCGCGCGGGGCGGGGCGCGGCGAGCACGAAGUGGAAAGACCCGCCCCCUGCCCCCCGCCCACUGUCCCCCGUCCCCCGCCGCGGCCGGCGGAGCAGGAGAAAUUUGGUUGCUUGUUGGCCUUAACACAUGCCUCCAAAUUACAAAACAAGAUUUACUACCAGGUACACGUCGGAAGAAGCAGGUGUUAAUACCACUGGAACUUUGCCUUGCAAAUUAUUUACAUAAUCUGGAUAUGACUCAUUGCUCUUGGUGUAAUCCCCAAGGACCAGAAGCUCUACUUUAAAGAAAAAGAAACAUAAGAAGGAACUGAAGUAUGGGAAUCUUUUCAACCAUUACAACGCUUCAAGGUAUAUUUAUUUUCCAUUCUUUCACAGAGGCUAUAUCCAAUACGUCUGGAAACCUCAUUGGCUCUACCUUCAAAAUAUAUUCAGAAUUCAGGAAGUUCCUCAGGCAAAAAGGAAUAUGAGACCAACCAUAAACCUGGAUCUACAUCAAGAAAUGAAGAGUAUGGGAAAUGGAGUAAAACAAGUGAAACCCAACGUUCUCUAAAUAACAGUGUAAAAACUGAAUUAUAAGUCCUCAACUAAAAAUUCAGAAACUGAAAAAAAUAUAUACAAAUGGAGUAUCACUUUUCACAAGUAAAUGAAAAGUAACUUUGCUAUUAUCAGAAGACUGAUGAGGGACUUCCCUGGUGGUGCAGUGGUUAAGAAUCCGCCUGCCAAUGCUGGGGACAUGAGUUCGAUCCCUGGUCCGGGAAGAUCCUAAUGCCUCGGAGCAACUAAACCUGUGCGCCACAACUACUGAGCCUGCACUCUAGAGCCCCUGAGCCACAACUACUGAGCCCGUGCACCACAACUACUGAAGCCCACGCGCCGCAACCACUGAAGCCCGCAUGCCUAGAGCCCGUAUGCCUAGAGCCCGUGCUCCGCAACAAGAGAAGCCACCGCAUUGAGAAGCCCGUGCACCACAACGAAGAGUAGCCCCCGCUCGCCGCAACUAGAGAAAGCCCGUGCACAGCAAUGAAGACGCAACGCAGCCAAAAAAAAAAAAAAAAAGUUAUUUCCGGCCAAGGAGGCGUUAAUUAGAAGACUGAUGAAAUCUAGAAUAUUUUUAAAUGAAUAGCUCUUAGGCUUUAAAAGAAAACCUUUAUUACUAUUAUAUUUAUAGCCAUAUAAUUGCCCUAUGAAUACAUUCAUGGAAUGAAUUAUGGUACCUGCCGUGAGCUAUAAAGCAAGACAUAAAGUGUGGCAAGACGUACUUAACUUUGCUGAUGGAAUGCCCAUUCCCCUACCUCCAACAGUA
Molecule: long non-coding RNA, 1310 nt
Organism: Balaenoptera acutorostrata (minke whale)
Lineage: Eukaryota; Metazoa; Chordata; Mammalia; Artiodactyla; Balaenopteridae
Exons: 7
Source: RefSeq, a predicted model, not a curated record